RNAcentral lists this ribosomal RNA (305 nucleotides) under uncultured bacterium. RNAcentral's name for it is "bacterial SSU rRNA". It matches the Rfam family "Bacterial small subunit ribosomal RNA", at positions 337 to 659 of the family's 1533-position model. The record is from RNAcentral.
ACCUACGGGGGGCAGCAGUGGGGAAUAUUGCACAAUGGGGGAAACCCUGAUGCAGCGACGCCGCGUGAGCGAUGAAGUAUUUCGGUAUGUAAAGCUCUAUCAGCAGGGAAGAAGAUGACGGUACCUGACUAAGAAGCCCCGGCUAACUACGUGCCAGCAGCCGCGGUAAUACGUAGGGGGCAAGCGUUAUCCGGAUUUACUGGGUGUAAAGGGAGCGUAGACGGCGAUGCAAGCCAGAUGUGAAAGCCCGGGGCUCAACCCUGGGACUGCUCUGGAAACUGUAAAGCUGGAGUGCGGGAGGGGCG